RNAcentral lists this ribosomal RNA (831 nucleotides) under Salmonella enterica. RNAcentral describes it as "partial 23S ribosomal RNA". It matches the Rfam family "Bacterial large subunit ribosomal RNA", at positions 1972 to 2802 of the family's 2925-position model. RNAcentral also lists the same sequence under 1 other name. Lineage: Bacteria; Pseudomonadati; Pseudomonadota; Gammaproteobacteria; Enterobacterales; Enterobacteriaceae. The record is from RNAcentral.
UCGGGUAAGUUCCGACCUGCACGAAUGGCGUAAUGAUGGCCAGGCUGUCUCCACCCGAGACUCAGUGAAAUUGAACUCGCUGUGAAGAUGCAGUGUACCCGCGGCAAGACGGAAAGACCCCGUGAACCUUUACUAUAGCUUGACACUGAACAUUGAGCCUUGAUGUGUAGGAUAGGUGGGAGGCUUUGAAGUGUGGACGCCAGUCUGCAUGGAGCCGACCUUGAAAUACCACCCUUUAAUGUUUGAUGUUCUAACGUGGACCCGUUACCCGGGUUGCGGACAGUGUCUGGUGGGUAGUUUGACUGGGGCGGUCUCCUCCUAAAGAGUAACGGAGGAGCACGAAGGUUGGCUAAUCCUGGUCGGACAUCAGGAGGUUAGUGCAAUGGCAUAAGCCAGCUUGACUGCGAGCGUGACGGCGCGAGCAGGUGCGAAAGCAGGUCAUAGUGAUCCGGUGGUUCUGAAUGGAAGGGCCAUCGCUCAACGGAUAAAAGGUACUCCGGGGAUAACAGGCUGAUACCGCCCAAGAGUUCAUAUCGACGGCGGUGUUUGGCACCUCGAUGUCGGCUCAUCACAUCCUGGGGCUGAAGUAGGUCCCAAGGGUAUGGCUGUUCGCCAUUUAAAGUGGUACGCGAGCUGGGUUUAGAACGUCGUGAGACAGUUCGGUCCCUAUCUGCCGUGGGCGCUGGAGAACUGAGGGGGGCUGCUCCUAGUACGAGAGGACCGGAGUGGACGCAUCACUGGUGUUCGGGUUGUCAUGCCAAUGGCACUGCCCGGUAGCUAAAUGCGGAAGAGAUAAGUGCUGAAAGCAUCUAAGCACGAAACUUGCCCCGA